Molecule: long non-coding RNA, 6624 nt
Filed under: Sus scrofa (pig)
Lineage: Eukaryota; Metazoa; Chordata; Mammalia; Artiodactyla; Suidae
Description: lncRNA (ENSSSCG00060063179.1)
Source: RNAcentral
CUAUGACAUCAUAGCAUAGGAUUUAGGAGUAUAGGGUAUAGAGCCAGAUUUAUCGAAUUUGUGAACAAGUUUUAUCAUUUCCUAGGGAAAUGCAACAGAAAUUAUUUCCACGCUUGUAUGACCUCAUAAUGUUGCUUUAAGCAUAGGUGGGUUAGAUAUAAAGCAGGUAAAGCCAGACUGAUUGAAUAAAAUUUUUGUACAGGCCUGAAUAGGUCUAAGUCUCAAAAAAGAGUUUUUCUUCCUUCCUUUCAAUUUAAAUAUUUCUCAACUCAAGAGGUUUGUAUCAGUUGUCUACUCUACCUAACAAACAGAAACUUUAUUGGAGUAUUGCAUGCCAGGCUACUGCUCUUCCUCACUUAAUGUAGUUCUACAAGUUCUAUCAACCAGUGCUGAACUUCUGAGGGACAUGUAAAUCUUCAAAAUAUGGAUAAAAAUAUUAUCUACUUUUAAUAUAUAUUUUCUUAUAUAUUCUUCAAGCUGAAGUUGACAUGGCACAUUUUCCUAGUCACAUACCCUCUAUGUUCUUGGUAUUACUUUCAGAAUCACCGCCCCACUCUCAGACACACACAGUUGAGGGAUGUUCUCCAAUGAAUCUGACUUUUGGUUGACAUUGCAUGUUUUCUCCAAUCAGAGUAAAAAUGUUUUUUGAAUAUCUGACUCAUUACACAUUGUUUGAUACCCCUUUUGAUAUUACUAAGAAGAUAAUAUUGUUAUUGCAUAUGCCUGUCCCUGCGCAUUAAUCUUGUCACCUUCCUUAAUCCCAUUAAUAAUAAUCUCAUCACCUUCCUUAAUAAAAAUUAUGUGGGCUAAAGCCUAGGGGCCUUUGUUCUACAGAACAGAGUGCCUCCUGGUCCCCCACUUUCUAAAUGUAAGAGUCUUGUGUGUUCUGUUAUACCCUGCCGUGCCUCUUCCAGGAUUCCCCGUUUCCCUGCAGCACUGGACAUGGCAAUACAUAGUGUUAGCACUCCAUUAAUGUUGAAUAACUGAAUAGCUAAAUGAACAUAGGGUCAUGAAUACUUACUCUCAUUCUAAGGAUUAGAGUUGAUUCUACUAAUAUAAUAUAUAUCAACUGCUCAACCUCAUAGAGCAUCUGUUAAGCAUGACCUUUAGAAUUUCUGGCAAUAGUGAUAGAUAGGUAAACAAGAUAAUACCAAAUGAUGUAAUUGGAAAGAAUAGAUAGAAGACAAAGAAAUGAGAAAUUUAACAAUUUUAAGAAAAACAGUGGUGGUAUUAAGUUUACUAAAGUAAGCUGUCCUGUGUGCUUGAAUCUUGACCCAGGCAGAGACAUAAUUCAUUAAUUAAACUGUUGCUAAUUUAAAACCGGCAACACAAAAGUAAUUUAUUAUAAAUAAUUAAAAGACUUUCCCUAUCAUAGUCAUUUACAUCAUAAUGAGCCAAUUAUUCUUUGCUAUAUAAAUUUACUGAAUCUCAAUGGCAAGCAAAGAGAGAGGACACUUAAAAUUAUAGUCACAGUGAAGCUAGCAUGAUGUUUUCCCCUUGUAAUUUUUUCACAAUAUAUUUUGUAAAUUAUCUGGAAUUUCAUACAGCUAUAAUAAUAUUAAUGGUUAGCCAUUACAUUUUAUAAUGUUAAUAAAAAAACUAUAUAUAAAAUACAUGCAGUGAAACAUUAGCUGUAGUAGUUAAGAUGUGGAUUCUGAAGUAAUUCCUCCACAUAGUUUUACAACUUAGGAAGUAAUGUAUCGUUUCUUUGCUUUAACUUUCUCAUCCAUAAAAUGGGAAAAUAAUUUUUAGCUUCCUUAUGGGAAAUUUCUGAGGACUAAAAUCAAUAACAUGCAGAAUUUGUAAAUAAAUAUCUGACAUUAAUAAGCAUUGAAUAAAUAGCAAUUACUAUCAUCAGUAUUAUUAUAUCAAUUCAUCUACUCAAGAGAAAAACAAAAUAAAACAGGUAUAUACAGUUUUAAGAUGAUAAUAUAAAGUUAAUCCUUAAUUCCAAUUUAUUUAUAAAUCUCCAAUUGAUAGGUCACAAUUUUAAAAAGAAACAAAGAGAAAGAAAAAAGAUGGUGGAAGAGUAGGGGGAUGCACUCGCCCUCUCCCACAAACACAACAAAAAAACACAUCUACACAUAAAGCGACUCACACAGAACAACAACUGAAUGCUAGCAGAACUUAAACCGCCAAAAACGGCAAGAAUCUCUUGACAUAACUGGGUAAAACAAGAGAAAAGAGGAGAGAGAGAAGGGGAAUCAGGACUGGACUGGCACUCCUGAGAGGGAACUGUGAAAGAGAAAGGGAACCUACACACUGGAAAGUCACCUAAUGGAUAGAAAGUUCUACCCAGUCGGAGGGAUCUCAGACUCUCAGAAAAGCAGAGCAGCAGGUCUGAGAUCUAAAAAGCAGAGUGAGAGCCGCACAGAUCAUCUGAACCACUGGUACAGACACCAAAAACCUAGAUGCUCAGAUGGAGGCUGGGCACCUACACCUAGGCCCUGGAGGUUAGUCCCUAGGAAUGGGCUGGGGUUGACAGUGUGGAGACAGCCUGAGGGAUUAGGAAACCUUGUGACGGGACGGAGGGAGCAAUACGCUAAGGGCUGGGGAGUGGAAAGCCACAACAGAGGGAACUUGAGAGAAGGUUCGGACCCACAGGUGAGACAAGGCAUCAGUGUUGGGGAGGGGAGAGGAAGAGGGGCUGGCUGCCAUAGAAUACUCCCUGCACCCCAGCGUGUGUGCUUGCCUGCCAGCUAGAAGAGAGCAGAGCUUCCCAGCACAUCCUCCAUCCCCCACCCAGUGAGCACCUGGUCAGAAGCUGCCUGCCAUCCCAGUGGACUGGCCUUAUUACCCUCAGGAAGCCAUACACCACUGCCGCUUUCCCCAGUCAGAUGGCCUGCACACAGGAAGCGCCCCACUCCUGCGGAGCAAGCUGCAGCACCGCUCGCCCUCGGGAAGAGCUCCACAGCCCAGGAGUACCAGGGCAAGCCCUGCCGGGCCACAGAUAGUGUGCUUACACUGCAGUGCACCUGCCAGUCCCUCGAGAAGCACUCCUUUGCCUCAGAGCCAGCCGGUUAGCCCCACUGGCCCUCAGGAAGUGCUGCACUCCCACGGAGCAAGCCGCCCAGCACCAUCAGCCCUCAGGAAGAGCUCCACAGCCCAGGAGCACCAGGGCAAGCCCUGCCUGGCCACGGGGAGUGCACCUCCACCAUGAAAAAGAAAAACACAAGCAAGAUAAAGAAGCUCAGAAACCAUUCCCAGUUAAACCAACAGGAGAACUCCCCUAAAGCAGUCAACAAUGAAACAACUCUGCAGUCUGACAGACUUGGAGUUCAAAAGGGAGAAAAGGGAGAUAGUGAAAAUACUGAAGGAAUUAAGAGAAAAUAUGAACAGUAAUGCAGACUCCCUCAGAAAGGAACUAGAAAAUAUAAGGAGGAGCCAAGAAAAACUAGAAAAUUCAUUUGCAAAGAUACAAACGGAGCUAAGGGUAGUUAAAACCAAAAUGAAUAAUGCAGAGGAACAAAUUAGUGACGUGGAAGAUAGAAUAAGUUGGGAAAUCACCCAAACCAACUGAAAAAACAUGAAAGCAAUAUGAGAGACCUAUGGGAUAAUAUAAAGUGGGCCAAUCUACACAUAAUAGGAAUUCUGGAAGGAGAAGAAAAAGAAAAGGAGAUGAAAUAUAUUUGAAGAAAUUAUCACUGAGAAUUUUCCAAAUUUAAAGGAUACUGAUUCAAGAUAAAGGAAGCACAGAGGUUCCCAAAGAAGUUGAACCGAAUAGACCCACACCAAGACAUGUUAUAAUAAAAAUGGUAAAAAUUAAUGAUAAAGAGAGGAUCCUAAAGGCAACAAGAGAAAAGCAAAGUGUCAUUUAUAAGGGAACCCCCAUAAGGCUAUCAGCUGAUUUCUCUACAGAAACUCUACAGGCCAGGAGGGAAUGGCAAGAGAUAUUUAAAGCACUGAAAGGAAAAAAUAUGCAACCUAGAAUACUCUAGCCAGCAAGAAUAUCAUUUAGAAUAGAAGGGGAAAUAAAAAAUUUUUCCAACCAAAAAAAGGCUAAAAGAAUAUAGCAAUACAAAACCCAUCUAAAAUAAAUACUUCUCUAAAUUAAAAAAAAAAAAGAGGAAGAACUAGGAUGGAGGAAACAACAAUCAGAGAGCAGUCACUUAAAUAAGCCAGCAUACAGAUCUAAUCAUGAAGAUGUUUAAAAUAAAAUUAAAUUAAAAAAAUAAAAAUCAUAAAACAUGGGCAAGGGAAGUAAGGAAAUGAAUAGAUUCUUUUUUUCCUUUUUCUUAAAAUUUUGUUAUGGUAAUGAAGUGUUUGAAUCUACAGGACUAUCAGACUAAAACACACAAUAAUAGGAAGGGGUUAACAUAAUUAAAGAACAGGGCAACCACAAAUCAAAACCAAACAUUAUAUUCACAAGAAAUGAAAAGAAAAACACUCAAGCAGAAAAUAAUUGGAGACCAUCCAACCAAAAAAAGAAAGCAGGAAUGGAGAAUCGUAGAAUCAACUGGAAAAUGAGGUUUAAAAUGGCAAUAAAUAAUCAUCUAUCAAUUAUUACCUUAAAUGUCCAUGGACUGAAUGCUCCAAUCAAAAGACAGAGAGUGGCUGAUUGGAUUAAAAAGCAAAAACCUUCAAUCUUCUGCCUACAAGAAACUCACAUUAGGACAAAGGACACAUACAGAUUGAAAGCAAGGGGAUGGGAAAAGAUAUUUCAUGCCAACGGAAAAGACAGGAAAGCAGGAGUUGCAAUACUCAUAUCAAACAAAAUAGACUUUAAAACGAAGGCCAUAAAGAAAGACAAAUAAGGACACUAUUUAAUGGUUAAGGGAUCAUUUCAAGAAGAGGAUAUUACAAUCAUCAACAUAUAUGCCCCAAAUAUAGGAUCACCCAGAUACAUACAACAAAUAUUAACAGACAUAAAAGGAGAAAUUGAUGGGAAUACAGUCAUAGUAGGAGACUUUAAUACCCCACUCACAUCAAUGGACAAAUUCUCUAGACAGAAAACCAAUAAAGCAACAGAGAUCCUAAAGGAAGCAAUAGAAAAGUUAGACUUAAUUGACAUUUUGAAGACAUUACAUCCAAAAAAAUCAGAAUACACAUUCUUCUCAAGUGCACAUGGAACAUUUUCAAGAAUUAAACACAUAUUGAGGCACAAAGCUAACCUCAACAAAUUAGGAGCAUAGAAAUUAUUUCAAGUAUCCUCUCUGACCACAAUGGCAUGAAAGUAGAAAUCAACCACAGGAAAAGAAAUGAGAAAAAGCCUACUACAUGGAGACUAAACAACAUGCUACUAAAAAACUAAUGGGUCAAUGAGGAAAUCAAGAAGGAAAUUAAACAAUACUUCGAGACAAACAAUAAUGAAGGCACAACCACUCAAAAUCUAUGGGACACCACAAAAGCAGUUCUCAGAGGGAAAUUUGUAGCAAUACAGGCUUUCCUCAAAAAAGGAGAAAGAUCUCAAAUUGACAACUUAACCCACCACCUAAAUGAAUUAGAAAAAGAACAAAAAAGUCCUAAAGUCAGCAGAAGGAAGGAAAUUAUAAAGAUCAAAGAAAAAAAUCAAUAAAAUAGAGAUUCAAAUAACAAUAGAGAAAAUUAAUAAAACCAAGAGCUGGUUCUUUGAAAAGGUAAACAAAAUUGACAACACCCUGCCUAGACUCACUAAGAAGAGGAGAAAAAGAACCCAAAUAAACAAAGUUAUAAAUGAAAAAGGAGAAAUCACAACAGAUACAGCAGAAAUACAAAAAACCAUAAGAGAAUACUAUGAACAACUGUAUGCCAACAAAUUUGACAAUCUGGAAGAAAUGGACAGCUUUCUAGAAUCUUACAGCCUGCCAAAACUGAAUCAAGAAGAAAUAGACCACUGAACAGACCGAUCACUAGAAAUGAAAUUGAAUAUGUCAUAAAAACACUCCCUACAAAUAAAAGUCCAGGACCAGAUGGCUUCAUGGGCAAAUUUUACCAAACAUACAUAGAGGAACUGGUGCCCAUCCUCCUUAAGCUUUUUCAAAAGGUUGAAGAAGAAGGAACACUCCCAAAGACAUUCUAUGAUGCCACUAUCACCCUAAUUCCAAAGCCACACAAAGAUACCACCAAAAAAGAAAACUAUCAGCCAAUAUCUUUGAUGAACAGAGAUGCAAAAAUUCUCAACAAAAUUUUAGCCAACUGAAUCCAACAACAUAUCAAAAAGAUCAUACACCAUGACCAGGUGGGAUGCAUCCCAGGUUCACAAGGUUGGUUCAACAUACACAAAUCAAUCAAUGUCAUACACCAUAUUAACAAAAGAAAAGUCAAAAACCAUAUGAUCAUCUCAAUAGAUGCAGAAAAAAAUCAUUUGGCAAAGUCCAACAUCCAUUUAUGAUAAAAACUCUCACCAAAAUAGGUAUAGAGGGAACAUUCCUUAACAUAAUGAAAGCCAAACCCACAGCAAAUAUAAUACUCCAUGGAGAAAACCUGAAAGCCUUCCCACUAAAAUCUGGAACAAGACAGGGAUGCCCAUUCUCACCACUGCUGUUCAACAUAGUAUUGGAAAUCCUAGCCACAGCAACAAACAAAAGAAAUAAAAGGCAUACAAAUAGGACGGGAAGAGAUAAAACUGUCACUGUAUACAGAUGACAUGAUACUAUACAUAGAAAACCCUAAGGACUCAACCCAAAAACUGCUUGAACUGAUCAA